This is a long non-coding RNA of Empidonax traillii (willow flycatcher), 450 nucleotides long. RefSeq lists it as uncharacterized. The transcript is spliced from 3 exons. The record is from RefSeq and is a predicted model, not a curated record. NCBI's taxonomy places the organism in Eukaryota, Metazoa, Chordata, Aves, Passeriformes, Tyrannidae.
UUUCCCACUGAAGGGAAUAGUUUGACGUCCUGAAGGUUGGUUUCCUUUGGGACUGAUGGCAGGAGUGGAGCAAAGGCAAGUUUUCCCUCUCUCUGCUGAUAGACACGUGGUCGGUCACACGAGUAGAGUGAAGGGCACAGAGGGGUGUCUUUUUCAGCCUGUUUUGCCCAGAAUAAUGUAAAUAUUGCUCAGGUGGGUGGGGAGAAGAGCAGGGCUGCAGUGGGGCCGUGGCUGAGGAGCGGCAGCCACAGGAGCAAGGCUCUCCAUGUGUUUAGUCUUCUCGAAAGAACAUGCCAGAUGUUAGAAUGCAGGCAGAGCUCCCAGAGGCUGGAAGACAAUGGUGGGGGUGAGGCAGAGCCGCCUCUGCCGUGUUGUGUCUGCGCUCCCAUCACAUCCCAUUACUGUCUCCAGUGCAGAUGGCACUUUGAACCACUCCAUACACCCCCAGCC